AGAGUUUGGUCAUGGCUCAGGAUGAACGCUAGCGGCGUGCUUAACACAUGCAAGUCGAACGGUGAAAGCGGAGCUUGCUCCGCUGGAUCAGUGGCGAACGGGUGAGUAACACGUGGGCAACCUGCCCCUGACUUCGGGAUAACUCCUCGAAAGAGGAGCUAAUACCGGAUACGAACUCCUUGGGCAUCCUUGGAGUUGGAAAGUUUUUCGGUCAGGGAUGGGCCCGCGGCCUAUUAGUUUGUUGGUGAGGUAACGGCUCACCAAGGCGACGAUAGUUAGGGGCCCUGAGAGGGGGAUCCCCCACACUGGUACUGAGACACGGACCAGACUCCUACGGGAGGCAGCAGUGAGGAAUAUUGGCCAAUGGAGGCAACUCUGAUCCAGCCAUGCCGCGUGCAGGAAGACUGCCCUAUGGGUUGUAAACUGCUUUUAUACGGGAAGAAACCCUCCCACGUGUGGGGGGCUGACGGUACCGUAAGAAUAAGCAUCGGCUAACUCCGUGCCAGCAGCCGCGGUAAUACGGACGAUGCAAGCGUUAUCCGGAAUCAUUGGGUUUAAAGGGUCCGUAGGUGGAUAAUUAAGUCAGGGGUGAAAGUUUGCGGCUCAACCGUAAAAUUGCCUUUGAUACUGGUUAUCUUGAGUUAUUAUGAAGUAGUUAGAAUAUGUAGUGUAGCGGUGAAAUGCAUAGAUAUUACAUAGAAUACCAAUUGCGAAGGCAGAUUACUAACAAUAUACUGACACUGAUGGACGAAAGCGUGGGUAGCGAACAGGAUUAGAUACCCUGGUAGUCCACGCCGUAAACGAUGGAUACUAGCUGUUGGGCCGGCUCAGUGGCUAAGCGAAAGUGAUAAGUAUCCCACCUGGGGAGUACGUUCGCAAGAAUGAAACUCAAAGGAAUUGACGGGGGCCCGCACAAGCGGUGGAGCAUGUGGUUUAAUUCGAUGAUACGCGAGGAACCUUACCAGGGCUUAAAUGCAUAUUGACAGGGGUAGAGAUACCUUUUCCUUCGAGCAAUUUGCAAGGUGCUGCAUGGUUGUCGUCAGCUCGUGCCGUGAGGUGUCAGGUUAAGUCCUAUAACGAGAGCAACCCCUACCGUUAGUUGCCAGCGAGUCAUGUCGGGGACUCUAACGGGACUGCCGGUGCAAACCGUGAGGAAGGUGGGGAUGACGUCAAAUCAUCACGGCCCUUACGUCCUGGGCCACACACGUGCUACAAUGGCCGGUACAGAGAGCAGCCACUUGGCAACAAGGAGCGAAUCUACAAAACCGGUCACAGUUCGGAUCGGGGUCUGCAACUCGACCCCGUGAAGCUGGCAUCGCUAGUAAUCGGAUAUCAGCCAUGAUCCGGUGAACACGUUCCCGGGCCUUGUACACACCGCCCGU
Molecule: ribosomal RNA, 1382 nt
Filed under: uncultured prokaryote
Description: partial 16S ribosomal RNA
Rfam family: Bacterial small subunit ribosomal RNA
Source: RNAcentral